UGUUAUAAAAUCUAUGGUGAUAUGUUCCCAUUUGCACUCUGGGAUUGAUAAUGAUUGAAGUAGCCCACCUGGAUGUUGAUGUUCUGCUUUAACCUAUUGACAUACAAGGAACUUGGAGAGGAAAUCAAUAAUUUUCUUUUCAUCCUAUUCCAUCAAAAUUGAUGUCGCAUGGUUUGAUACAUCUUAGUACUUCCAGAAUUCAUGGUGAAUCUUGUAUUGUAAGCCUCUGUCAUGAUAUCUUUUUUCAGUUCACUAUCAUUUGGAACACAUACCCUGUCCUAAAAUCUGAGCAACCCAUCAGUAAAGACUCGAAAUUCUAAAUUUAAACCCUAUUCUAUAUCCUUUCUGAUAGAUACUAGAGUGGGAUCAGUUAGUUGAGAUUCC
This 384-nucleotide long non-coding RNA is filed under the name Carica papaya (papaya). Its description in RNAcentral is "long non-coding RNA (CPAP_LNC007224)". Lineage: Eukaryota; Viridiplantae; Streptophyta; Magnoliopsida; Brassicales; Caricaceae. The record is from RNAcentral.